Molecule: ribosomal RNA, 397 nt
Filed under: uncultured bacterium
Lineage: Bacteria
Description: partial 16S ribosomal RNA
Rfam family: Bacterial small subunit ribosomal RNA
Source: RNAcentral
AUACGUAGGGGGCGAGCGUUGUCCGGAAUGAUUGGGCGUAAAGGGCGCGUAGGCGGCGCGGUAAGUCUGGAGUGAAAGUCCUGCUUUCAAGGUGGGAAUUGCUUUGGAUACUGCAGUGCUAGAGUGCGGAAGAGGUAAGUGGAAUUCCCAGUGUAGCGGUGAAAUGCGUAGAGAUUGGGAGGAACACCAGUGGCGAAGGCGACUUACUGGGCCGUAACUGACGCUGAGGCGCGAAAGCGUGGGGAGCGAACAGGAUUAGAUACCCUGGUAGUCCACGCGGUAAACGAUGAAUGCUAGGUGUUACGGGUAUCGACCCCUGCAGUGCCGGAGUAAACACAAUAAGCAUUCCGCCUGGGGAGUACGGCCGCAAGGUUGAAACUCAAAGGAAUUGACGGGG